RNAcentral lists this ribosomal RNA (2925 nucleotides) under Salmonella enterica. RNAcentral's name for it is "23S ribosomal RNA". It matches the Rfam family "Bacterial large subunit ribosomal RNA". Lineage: Bacteria; Pseudomonadati; Pseudomonadota; Gammaproteobacteria; Enterobacterales; Enterobacteriaceae. The record is from RNAcentral.
GGGUUGUGAGGUUAAGCGACUAAGCGUACACGGUGGAUGCCCUGGCAGUCAGAGGCGAUGAAGGGCGUACUAAUCUGCGAUAAGCGCCGGUAAGGUGAUAUGAACCGUUAUAACCGGCGAUACCCGAAUGGGGAAACCCAGUGUGAUUCGUCACACUAUCAUUAACUGAAUCCAUAGGUUAAUGAGGCGAACCGGGGGAACUGAAACAUCUAAGUACCCCGAGGAAAAGAAAUCAACCGAGAUUCCCCCAGUAGCGGCGAGCGAACGGGGAGGAGCCCAGAGCCUGAAUCAGCAUGUGUGUUAGUGGAAGCGUCUGGAAAGGCGCGCGAUACAGGGUGACAGCCCCGUACACAAAAGCGCAUGUGCUGUGAGCUCGAUGAGUAGGGCGGGACACGUGGUAUCCUGUCUGAAUAUGGGGGGACCAUCCUCCAAGGCUAAAUACUCCUGACUGACCGAUAGUGAACCAGUACCGUGAGGGAAAGGCGAAAAGAACCCCGGCGAGGGGAGUGAAAAAGAACCUGAAACCGUGUACGUACAAGCAGUGGGAGCACCCUUUGGGUGUGACUGCGUACCUUUUGUAUAAUGGGUCAGCGACUUAUAUUCUGUAGCAAGGUUAACCGAAUAGGGGAGCCGGAGGGAAACCGAGUCUUAACCGGGCGUUAAGUUGCAGGGUAUAGACCCGAAACCCGGUGAUCUAGCCAUGGGCAGGUUGAAGGUUGGGUAACACUAACUGGAGGACCGAACCGACUAAUGUUGAAAAAUUAGCGGAUGACCUGUGGCUGGGGGUGAAAGGCCAAUCAAACCGGGAGAUAGCUGGUUCUCCCCGAAAGCUAUUUAGGUAGCGCCUCGUGAAUUCAUCUCCGGGGGUAGAGCACUGUUUCGGCUAGGGGGCCAUCCCGGCUUACCAACCCGAUGCAAACUGCGAAUACCGGAGAAUGUUAUCACGGGAGACACACGGCGGGUGCUAACGUCCGUCGUGAAGAGGGAAACAACCCAGACCGCCAGCUAAGGUCCCAAAGUCAUGGUUAAGUGGGAAACGAUGUGGGAAGGCCCAGACAGCCAGGAUGUUGGCUUAGAAGCAGCCAUCAUUUAAAGAAAGCGUAAUAGCUCACUGGUCGAGUCGGCCUGCGCGGAAGAUGUAACGGGGCUAAACCAUGCACCGAAGCUGCGGCAGCGACACUGUGUGUUGUUGGGUAGGGGAGCGUUCUGUAAGCCUGCGAAGGUGGCCUGUGAGGGUUGCUGGAGGUAUCAGAAGUGCGAAUGCUGACAUAAGUAACGAUAAAGCGGGUGAAAAGCCCGCUCGCCGGAAGACCAAGGGUUCCUGUCCAACGUUAAUCGGGGCAGGGUGAGUCGACCCCUAAGGCGAGGCCGAAAGGCGUAGUCGAUGGGAAACGGGUUAAUAUUCCCGUACUUGGUGUUACUGCGAAGGGGGGACGGAGAAGGCUAUGUUGGCCGGGCGACGGUUGUCCCGGUUUAAGCGUGUAGGUGUGUGUUCCAGGUAAAUCCGGUUCACUUUAACACUGAGGCGUGACGACGAGGCACUACGGUGCUGAAGCAACAAAUGCCCUGCUUCCAGGAAAAGCCUCUAAGCAUCAGGUAACAUCAAAUCGUACCCCAAACCGACACAGGUGGUCAGGUAGAGAAUACCAAGGCGCUUGAGAGAACUCGGGUGAAGGAACUAGGCAAAAUGGUGCCGUAACUUCGGGAGAAGGCACGCUGACACGUAGGUGAAGUGAUUUACUCAUGGAGCUGAAGUCAGUCGAAGAUACCAGCUGGCUGCAACUGUUUAUUAAAAACACAGCACUGUGCAAACACGAAAGUGGACGUAUACGGUGUGACGCCUGCCCGGUGCCGGAAGGUUAAUUGAUGGGGUCAGCGCAAGCGAAGCUCCUGAUCGAAGCCCCGGUAAACGGCGGCCGUAACUAUAACGGUCCUAAGGUAGCGAAAUUCCUUGUCGGGUAAGUUCCGACCUGCACGAAUGGCGUAAUGAUGGCCAGGCUGUCUCCACCCGAGACUCAGUGAAAUUGAACUCGCUGUGAAGAUGCAGUGUACCCGCGGCAAGACGGAAAGACCCCGUGAACCUUUACUAUAGCUUGACACUGAACAUUGAGCCUUGAUGUGUAGGAUAGGUGGGAGGCUUUGAAGUGUGGACGCCAGUCUGCAUGGAGCCGACCUUGAAAUACCACCCUUUAAUGUUUGAUGUUCUAACGUGGACCCGUUACCCGGGUUGCGGACAGUGUCUGGUGGGUAGUUUGACUGGGGCGGUCUCCUCCUAAAGAGUAACGGAGGAGCACGAAGGUUGGCUAAUCCUGGUCGGACAUCAGGAGGUUAGUGCAAUGGCAUAAGCCAGCUUGACUGCGAGCGUGACGGCGCGAGCAGGUGCGAAAGCAGGUCAUAGUGAUCCGGUGGUUCUGAAUGGAAGGGCCAUCGCUCAACGGAUAAAAGGUACUCCGGGGAUAACAGGCUGAUACCGCCCAAGAGUUCAUAUCGACGGCGGUGUUUGGCACCUCGAUGUCGGCUCAUCACAUCCUGGGGCUGAAGUAGGUCCCAAGGGUAUGGCUGUUCGCCAUUUAAAGUGGUACGCGAGCUGGGUUUAGAACGUCGUGAGACAGUUCGGUCCCUAUCUGCCGUGGGCGCUGGAGAACUGAGGGGGGCUGCUCCUAGUACGAGAGGACCGGAGUGGACGCAUCACUGGUGUUCGGGUUGUCAUGCCAAUGGCACUGCCCGGUAGCUAAAUGCGGAAGAGAUAAGUGCUGAAAGCAUCUAAGCACGAAACUUGCCCCGAGAUGAGUUCUCCCUGAGACUUAGAGUCUCCUGAAGGAACGUUGAAGACGACGACGUUGAUAGGCCGGGUGUGUAAGCGCAGCGAUGCGUUGAGCUAACCGGUACUAAUGAACCGUGAGGCUUAACCUUACAACGCCGAAG